This 495-nucleotide ribosomal RNA is filed under the name uncultured bacterium. RNAcentral's name for it is "partial 16S ribosomal RNA". It matches the Rfam family "Bacterial small subunit ribosomal RNA", at positions 28 to 507 of the family's 1533-position model. The record is from RNAcentral.
GACGAACGCUGGCGGCGUGCCUAAUACAUGCAAGUAGAACGCUGAAGGAGGAGCUUGCUUCUCUGGAUGAGUUGCGAACGGGUGAGUAACGCGUAGGUAACCUGCCUGGUAGCGGGGGAUAACUAUUGGAAACGAUAGCUAAUACCGCAUAAGAGUAGAUGUUGCAUGACAUUUACUUAAAAGGUGCAAUUGCAUCACUACCAGAUGGACCUGCGUUGUAUUAGCUAGUUGGUGAGGUAACGGCUCACCAAGGCAACGAUACAUAGCCGACCUGAGAGGGUGAUCGGCCACACUGGGACUGAGACACGGCCCAGACUCCUACGGGAGGCAGCAGUAGGGAAUCUUCGGCAAUGGACGGAAGUCUGACCGAGCAACGCCGCGUGAGUGAAGAAGGUUUUCGGAUCGUAAAGCUCGGUUGUAAGAGAAGAACGAGUGUGAGAGUGGAAAGUUCACACUGUGACGGUAUCUUACCAGAAAGGGACGGCUAACUACGUG